AAGCAGGGCCCAGAGAUGCUGUUAUGUGGGUGACUUGUUGUCUCCUUGAACUUUAGAGAGACAAAUACGAUAUUUCACUUGUAUGGCAAAAUUGAAGAAGAGAACACAAAACACAAGUGAAGCUCUAUACUGAAGUAUGCUCUGAAGCCCUUGAGGAGAACGAUGCUGCUGUUGCUGCUGCUUGUAUUUGGAGAUGAGGUGGCAGACCUUGUUCCCCAGACUCAUGAAGAGGAAGUACCCAAAUGCGGUAAAGAUGUCCAAAUGCUGGGCAGGCAAAGGAAUGAUCAUCUGCCCAUUGACUAUAUGAGUGACACUGCUUGACUUGGUGGGAAAACAAAGAUGGAUAACAUGCAGAACCUGUCCUCGGAGACCAGAUCGGCUUACAAUUCUUUUCCUUUUGGUGAUUGCAUUCAUUUGGCAUCAUAGUUUGCAAAGCCUUUCACUCUCAUUGUUUCAUCAGAUCCUUCCUGACAGCCA
This is a long non-coding RNA of Phyllostomus hastatus (greater spear-nosed bat), 477 nucleotides long. RefSeq lists it as uncharacterized. Lineage: Eukaryota; Metazoa; Chordata; Mammalia; Chiroptera; Phyllostomidae. The record is from RefSeq and is a predicted model, not a curated record. The transcript has 3 exons.